ACGUAGGACGCAAGCGUUAUCCGGAGUUACUGGGCGUAAAGCGCGGGCAGGCGGCUCAAUCAGUCUGAUGUGAAAGCGCCCGGCUCAACCGGGCGAGGCCAUUGGAAACUGUUGAGCUGGAGGGCAGUAGAGGCAGGCGGAAUUCCGGGUGGAGUGGUGAAAUGCGUAGAGAUCCGGAGGAACCCCAGAGGCGAAGGCGGCCUGCUGGGCUGCACCUGACGCUGAACCGCGAAAGCCAGGGGAGCGAACGGGA
Molecule: ribosomal RNA, 253 nt
Filed under: uncultured prokaryote
Description: partial 16S ribosomal RNA
Rfam family: Bacterial small subunit ribosomal RNA
Source: RNAcentral